GUCGAGAAUCUUUCGCAAUGGGCGCAAGCCUGACGAAGCGACGCCGUGUGAACGAAGAAGGCCUUCGGGUUGUAAAGUUCUUUCGCUUGGGAACAAGGCAAGUUCAUAAAUAAUGAAUUUGUUUGAGGGUACUAGGUAAAGAAGCACCGGCUAACUCCGUGCCAGCAGCUGCGGUAAUACGGAGGGUGCAAGCAUUAAUCGGAAUUACUGGGCGUAAAGGGCGCGUAGGCGGCUUAAUAAGUCAUUUGUGAAAUUCCAGAGCUUAACUCUGGAGCUGCAGAUGAAACUAUUAGACUUGAGUAAAAGCGGAGAAAAUGGAAUUUCCCAUGUAGCGGUGAAAUGCGUAGAUAUGGGAAGGAACACCGGUGGCGAAAGCGGUUUUCUAGCUUUUAACUGACGCUGAGGCGCGAGAGCAAGGGGAGCAAACAGGAUUAGAAACCCUAGUAGUCC
Molecule: ribosomal RNA, 450 nt
Filed under: uncultured bacterium
Lineage: Bacteria
Description: bacterial SSU rRNA
Rfam family: Bacterial small subunit ribosomal RNA
Source: RNAcentral